AUGGAUGGUCAUAGUGCUAGCUUGGAGGAGAUAGAAGAAUAUCACAUGAUGGUUAGUCAGAUGUUUGCAAGCGAGAAGCAAGGUUACGAGCACUACAACAGAUAUGCAAGAGCAAAAGGUUUUAGUGUCAGAUUGGAUGACAAGGAGUACGUGAAGGGCACCAGAGAGGUGAAAGCAAGACAUUUCUGCUGCUCUAAAGAAGGGCACCGACUGGAGAAGUACUUUCAAGCGACUGACCAAAAAAGGGAGCCACGGGCGCUGACCCGUUGUGGUUGCAAAGCUAUGCUUGAGAUCCUACAUGAUGCAGGCAGGGGUCAGUGGUUUGUUAAGAGGUUUGUUGAUGUCCAUAACCACCCGCUAGCCGACCCGGACCAAUCUGCUUUUCUACGGUCUCACCGUCGGAUGAACGAUGCUCACAAGGCUGAUGCAGUGGAAUACGGACUUGGUGGUCUCCGUACGUUCCAAAUCAUGAAUGUGGCAAAGAAACAAAAUGGCGGCUAUCCUCAUGUUGGGUAUAUUUCUCGAGACCUCUACAAUUUCUUCGCCAGGUACAAGAAAAAAAGAAUCUUAGGCAGGGAUGCUGACUUUGUGCUGAACCAUAUGAGAGUACAGGAAGAACGAGAUGCUGAGUUUUUCUUCAAAUACACCACAGAUGAUGAAGGACAUCUUCGAAAUUUAUUCUGGGCAGAUUCACAGUCUCAGAUUGAUUAUGAAGCAUUCGGCGAUGUAGUUGUGUUUGACAGCACUUAUCGGGUCAACCGCUACAAUCUCCCUUUUGUUGCAUCUGUUGGACUGAACCAUCAUCGUAGUACUGUUGUUUUCGGGAUUGGUGUUGUUUCAGAUGAGACCCACAAGUCAUACGAGUGGCUACUUCAGACCUUUGUAGAGGCAAUGGGUCAUAAGGAGCCCAUAUCUGUUAUCACAGAUGGAGACUCGGCAAUGAGAAAAGCAAUUAGGAAGAUUUUGCCAAGGACAGACCAUCGGCUAUGCAGUUGGCACAUUGAGCAGAACAUGAUACGCCACCUGCGUAAUCCAAUGCUUGAUGACUUCAGAAAACCCAUAUACUGCCGAAUGGGAGUUUACCAGUUUGAGAAAUCAUGGGCUGAGUUCAAGGCGAAUUAUGAGAUCGAAGAGGAGAAUGAAUGGAUGUCCAGAAUGUACAAACUUAGGAAAAAGUGGGCCGCAGCUUAUACCAAGGGACGAUAUUUCUUGGGUAUGCAGAGCAACCAGCGUAGUGAGAGUCUGAACUCUAGGCUCCACAAUCAUCUGGACCGGAAAAUGUCGUUGGUUGAUGUGGUGGAGCACACUGAGCACUGCAUAUCACGUAUGCGGAGGAACGAGGCCGAGUUGGAUGCAAUAUGUUCGCAGUCAGUUCCUUUCACUAGAAUAGAUGCUUGUCUGUUGGAGAUAAAUGCUGCUCAUAUUUAUACACCAAAAAUUUUCAAGAUGGUAAGAGAUUGUAUCCGGAGAUCAUGUGCAUGGGUGAUUCAAGAGCAAACAACAGUAAAUGACUUGGUCAGGUAUGAAGUAGUGUUAAAAGAUGGAGCGGAAGGAGGGAGCAGACGUCUGUUCUCUGUAGAGUGUUCUUUUGAUGGUUCGUUGAUGAAUGGUGCCUUUUGUCCUUGCCGUAAGAUCGAGUGUGAAGCCAUCCCUUGCGUGCACAUUUUUGCUGUUCUGGUUUUCAUAGGGGCAGCGACCAUUCCUCCAUGUUGUGUUAGCAAAAGGUGGACAAUGGAAGCCAAGGCUGCAUUCGUGUCAGUGAGAAAUGCAAAUACACAUGUGUGGUCAGAAAAGAUGAGUCGUUACCGUGAACUGAGAAACAUAGCUAGUAUGGCCCUAUUCAAAGUAUCAAAAAGCGGGGAGCGUUCGUAG
RNAcentral lists this ribosomal RNA (1872 nucleotides) under Triticum aestivum (bread wheat). RNAcentral describes it as "partial small subunit ribosomal RNA". Lineage: Eukaryota; Viridiplantae; Streptophyta; Magnoliopsida; Poales; Poaceae. The record is from RNAcentral.